This 261-nucleotide long non-coding RNA is filed under the name Phoenix dactylifera (date palm). RNAcentral describes it as "long non-coding RNA (PDAC_LNC016584)". The record is from RNAcentral. Lineage: Eukaryota; Viridiplantae; Streptophyta; Magnoliopsida; Arecales; Arecaceae.
AAGAAGUGAGCUCGAUCUGGAGUCAGACUGCUAGAUAGUUAGAAGUCAAUUUAUCUUUUAUUUAUGGACAUUUGAAAUUAUGUAAUAAAUCAGUACAUUGUAGCUGGAUUUGAUUGAAUUACAUCAAUCUUUGAUUUUGGCAUUUAUGGAAUUAUUGAAAUUGUUGUUUAUCUUAGGCCUUGCAUGAUCUUUAGGGCCUUGCUCUAGGGCUCAUGCGGCCGGUCGCGUGCCGGACCCGGGUGACGGGUUCGGGGCGUGACA